GCAUGGGUUUGGAUUUAUGGCAGGCCCGUCACCAUGGGCCUCUCAUAGUGUCCCAUGCCAGAGCAAACUGUAGCCCCGAACCAUUGCCUGGCCUCCUUUCCCAUAGGCUGCAGGCACUGAAGCGGGCUGCACAGUG
Small nucleolar RNA from Loxodonta africana (African savanna elephant), 136 nucleotides. Ensembl annotates it as small nucleolar RNA SNORA42/SNORA80 family. The record is from Ensembl. NCBI's taxonomy places the organism in Eukaryota, Metazoa, Chordata, Mammalia, Proboscidea, Elephantidae.